This 179-nucleotide unclassified non-coding RNA is filed under the name fungal sp. RNAcentral describes it as "partial internal transcribed spacer region". The stretch from base 1 to 46 matches the Rfam family "Eukaryotic small subunit ribosomal RNA", at positions 1786 to 1831 of the family's 1831-position model. The record is from RNAcentral. Lineage: Eukaryota; Fungi.
AAGUCGUAACAAGGUUUCCGUAGGUGAACCUGCGGAAGGAUCAUUAACAAAUGCUUUAUUGCAUCCACCUUUUGUGCACCGUAAAAUUUUCACUUGAAUUUUGUCUGAUUAAUCCUUGUUCUGAAAGGAACAUGAAUUAUAAUCAAAUACAACUUUUAACAAUGGAUCUCUUGGCUCUC